RNAcentral lists this ribosomal RNA (518 nucleotides) under uncultured bacterium. Its description in RNAcentral is "bacterial SSU rRNA". It matches the Rfam family "Bacterial small subunit ribosomal RNA", at positions 337 to 872 of the family's 1533-position model. The record is from RNAcentral.
UCCUACGGGAGGCAGCAGUGGGGAAUAUUGGACAAUGGGCGCAAGCCUGAUCCAGCAAUGCCGCGUGGGUGAAGAAGGUUUUCGGAUUGUAAAGCCCUUUUGGCGGGGACGAUGAUGACGGUACCCGCAGAAUAAGCUCCGGCUAACUUCGUGCCAGCGGCCGCGGUAAUACGAAGGGGGCUAGCGUUGCUCGGAAUGACUGGGCGUAAAGGGCGCGUAGGCGGACUGCACAGUCAGGCGUGAAAUUCCUGGGCUUAACCUGGGGACUGCGUCUGAGACGUGUGAUCUAGAGUGAGGAAGAGGGUCGUGGAAUUUCCAGUGUAGAGGUGAAAUUCGUAGAUAUUGGAAAGAACACCGGUGGCGAAGGCGGCGACCUGGUCCUUUACUGACGCUGAGGCGCGAAAGCGUGGGGAGCAAACAGGAUUAGAUACCCUGGUAGUCCACGCUGUAAACGAUGUGUGCUUGAUGUUGGGGUGCUUAGCACUUCAGUGUCGGAGCUAACGCGGUAAGCACACCGC